RNAcentral lists this ribosomal RNA (484 nucleotides) under uncultured bacterium. RNAcentral describes it as "partial 16S ribosomal RNA". It matches the Rfam family "Bacterial small subunit ribosomal RNA", at positions 30 to 507 of the family's 1533-position model. The record is from RNAcentral.
AUUGAACGCUGGCGGCAGGCCUAACACAUGCAAGUCGAGCGGAUGAAGGGAGCUUGCUCCUGGAUUCAGCGGCGGACGGGUGAGUAAUGCCUAGGAAUCUGCCUGGUAGUGGGGGAUAACGUCCGGAAACGGGCGCUAAUACCGCAUACGUCCUGAGGGAGAAAGUGGGGGAUCUUCGGACCUCACGCUAUCAGAUGAGCCUAGGUCGGAUUAGCUAGUUGGUGGGGUAAAGGCCUACCAAGGCGACGAUCCGGAACUGGUCUGAGAGGAUGAUCAGCCACCCUGGAACUGAGACACGGUCCCGACUCCUACGGGAGGCAGCAGUGGGGAAUAUUGGGCAAUGGGCGAAAGCCUGAUCCAGCCAUGCCGCGUGUGUGAAGAAGGUCUUCGGAUUGUAAAGCACUUUAAGUUGGGAGGAAGGGCAGUAAGUUAAUACCUUGCUGUUUUGACGUUACCAACAGAAUAAGCACCGGCUAACUUCGUG